Molecule: unclassified non-coding RNA, 2471 nt
Filed under: Owenia fusiformis
Lineage: Eukaryota; Metazoa; Annelida; Polychaeta; Sabellida; Oweniidae
Description: misc RNA OFUS_LOCUS4527
Source: RNAcentral
CUGGCAACUUACAUUGCUGUAGUUGGUUUUGGAAUGAUUAGAUUCAAUUCAUGUUCCUCUUGAUUUGCAAGGAUAUCCAAAGAAAUUAUGGAGUUUUUAACAAUAAAUGCACAAAAGGGUUCAGCCGAUAGACUGAACUACUAAGACAAAGCUUAAAAGAAGGAUUAGUGGUUAGGGCCACUAGCUACUCGAAAAGCGCCGUGGAUAUAGUUGGAUAGCGGAUUUCUGUCUAAUACUAGCUUUCAUUUUGGAUUGUGUCUUGCUGCAGCCUUGACGAGUAUAAGAGUAUCAGACUCUCUAUUUGGAAGAAAUACUGUAUAAAGUCUACACUUUGAAACAUCGGAUCGAUUUAAUGGUGUCUGGCGAAUGUUCUGCCUGGAGAGAAACCACGCUAUUAUAAUUAGACCACUGCGGUGUUGGUUGACCGUCUUGGAUAGGGCCAGCAUUCGUAUUAAAUGUGCAAAUGUCUUUAUAAAAGAAAAGCGACAAUAAUAAUUCUGAGAGCUCUGCGAUUGGUGCCAAGUUAGUCAUAUAAAGUAAUUCUAUUGGAUAAAAAUGAAUAUGCCCACGUGCCGGGAAAUGGACUGCUUAAAUGUACACACGACAGUAGAGUUAUUAGGAAAGAAAUAGAUUCCCGGUAACAAGCUAUUAAACAUUAUGAGCAACAUUUCUACAAUGGAAAUAAAUUCAAUGUUCACCGUGGAUUAUUUUACACACACUUCUGGAUAGUAUACCCCACACACAGUACAAAUUUCCGGACGAAGGCGUAUUACUGGAAUUAUUAAAGUCGGAGGCCUAUUUAUUUAUAUAAUAGAAUAGAAUAAAAUGAGGUUGUUACAUUCUAGUUGUACUGGUUAAAAAGAUAACGUACAAAAAGUGAGUAUGCUUGCGGCUAUUACGUCCGGCCUAGACUUGAACCUUGCAACAACGGGUCCGACAUACAUGAACACAGGUCCCACUGCGGCAGCUGAGAUGCCUCCAAUUAAAGACACAGUGACCAAAGAUGACAAUUUGGGUCAUUUUGGAUUCACAAAUCGAUUUGAACAAUUGAUUAACAAAAACACAAAGAGACAUAGACGUUCUGAUACGGCACCGUAUCAUGGAUAUCUUUGCUCCGCACACCAGGGGCAAAUAUUAACAAUAUUUCAGAACGGAACAGUUGGAGGAACACCAAUGAAGAAUCCGUACUCACCAUAUGCUAGAAUAAUAUUUGAACAUAUUGUAAUACCAUCCAUGUUGCUGUCUACGUUUGUGCCAACAAAGCCAUCCAACGGUGCAAAAAUUCCAUCUUCAAAUUGCAAUUACACGAAACUACCACUGUUUCAGUUAAAAGGCGAGAAGAGCAAAUUUUACGUGUGUAUGAAUCACAAAGGAAACUUAUAUUCAUCACGAAAUCCAGAUGAUCUGUCUGAAUGUAGAUUCAUGAGAGAGUAUCUAAGAAAUCGUUUUGUGACAUUUAAAAGUUGUAAAUAUCCAGAAGACAGGUCUACGGAUUACCUUAUAGCAUUGCGGAGAGACGGUAAAACAUAUUCUGGAUCCAAUCACAGACUGACAAAUAGUACCUCUGUACAUAAUUCAGCGUGGUUCCUUGAAAGUAUACUUAAGAAAAAUAGCGAAUUUGACGCUAAUCCUUUAAUAAAUGUAUUUAAGAAUCUAAAAGGCACAACCCCAAAACCAAUAGAACCAACCAAAAAAACAAUAGAACCCAGCAAAAAAGACAGAAAGGGUUGUAAGGAAAAGAUUAGACAUAGCAGAAAAUGCAGAAAAGAUAAAAGUAGGACUAAGAAAUGUAAACAUCAAAAACGUAUGGAAAGGAAGUGUAAAGGACGUAAAAAAGGAAAGGUACGUAAAAACAGAGAGAGAAAUCAUAAUAAAGGUAAAGGUAAUAAAAAGAAAAACAGAAAGAAUAGAAAGAACAGGAGACGACAAAGGCGAACAAGUACAACAACCGCAACAGUGACCAGAUCAUAGCAAUAAUCCCGUGUAAUAUAGAGUAAAGUAGAACAUUCUAGAAAUUUCAGGAUUACAUUUGAAAAUUCUUAGAACGUUCAUAUAAAUGAAAUAAUAUACAACGAAUCAGAUCUGAAACUGUUAAACAGUUACAACAUCCCAAAAUACAAUAAAAAUGAUGCAUGGAAAGUCAUGAAAUGACAGACAGUGUUUAAGCCAGUCUGACGAUGCCAGUCUGUGAUGGCACAAUAAAACUGCAUGUCGAAAAAACAUAUACACUGGCUUUGCUUUCACUACUUAAGGUCUCUGAUGCAUCAUGGAAUAUACAACACAUGGGACACUACACUGAUGCCAAAGUAAUUAUAUUGAGUGCCUACAAGACUUAUAUAUAAUACAUAGUAGUAGACACAUGUAUUUAACUUAUUGCAUAUUUAUUACAUUGUACAUUUGGUGUCAGAGCCACUAUACAUAUUAAAGAAUAAUAAGUGAUUAUCACAUUCUCUUGCCAUUCUCAGUUCAAC